AAAAAUAUGAAAAUUCUGUUUUAAUUCAUAGUUGCAUCUUUCACUAACAUAUGAUGAAGGUCAAAGACGUUUGAAACUUUUGUUGUCGCCGUUGCUCUAGAGAAUAGCGAUUUUAUAGUGGUUAGUCCACCAAUUUAGUAGUAUUACGCAAUUUUACUAAAUUAAUUGACAAAAAAAUAAAACGAUGCCCAUCUACCAUGAAAUAGAGUUUGAUAUACAUUAAUACAAAUGUAUAAUGUGUUUAGAAAAUUUAAAAUAA
Molecule: long non-coding RNA, 259 nt
Organism: Brassica rapa (field mustard)
Lineage: Eukaryota; Viridiplantae; Streptophyta; Magnoliopsida; Brassicales; Brassicaceae
Source: RefSeq, a predicted model, not a curated record